AUGGCUCAGGAUGAACGCUAGCUACAGGCUUAACACAUGCAAGUCGAGGGGCAGCAUUGGGAUAGCUUGCUAUUCAGAUGGCGACCGGCGCACGGGUGAGUAACGCGUAUCCAACCUUCCUGCCAGUAGGGAACAGCCCGGCGAAAGUCGGAUUAAUGCCCUAUGUUCUUCAAUGCGGACAUCUAAGUUGAAGGAAAGAUUCAUCGCUGGCAGAUGGGGAUGCGUCCGAUUAGCUUGCCGGCGGGGUAACGGCCCACCGGGGCGACGAUCGGUAGGGGUUCUGAGAGGAAGGUCCCCCACACUGGUACUGAGACACGGACCAGACUCCUACGGGAGGCAGCAGUGAGGAAUAUUGGUCAAUGGGCGUAAGCCUGAACCAGCCAAGUAGCGUGCAAGGAUGACGGCCCUACGGGUUGUAAACUGCUUUUAUGCGGGGAUAAAGUGCGGCACGUGUGCCGCUUUGCAGGUACCGCAUGAAUAAGGACCGGCUAAUUCCGUGCCAGCCGCGGC
Molecule: ribosomal RNA, 510 nt
Filed under: uncultured bacterium
Lineage: Bacteria
Description: bacterial SSU rRNA
Rfam family: Bacterial small subunit ribosomal RNA
Source: RNAcentral